This 520-nucleotide ribosomal RNA is filed under the name uncultured bacterium. RNAcentral describes it as "bacterial SSU rRNA". It matches the Rfam family "Bacterial small subunit ribosomal RNA", at positions 988 to 1509 of the family's 1533-position model. The record is from RNAcentral.
CCAGAGAACUUUCCAGAGAUGGAUUGGUGCCUUCGGAACUCUGAGACAGGUGCUGCAUGGCUGUCGUCAGCUCGUGUUGUGAAAUGUUGGGUUAAGUCCCGCAACGAGCGCAACCCUUAUCCUUUGUUGCCAGCGGUCCGGCCGGGAACUCAAAGGAGACUGCCAGUGAUAAACUGGAGGAAGGUGGGGAUGACGUCAAGUCAUCAUGGCCCUUACGAGUAGGGCUACACACGUGCUACAAUGGCGCAUACAAAGAGAAGCGACCUCGCGAGAGCAAGCGGACCUCAUAAAGUGCGUCGUAGUCCGGAUUGGAGUCUGCAACUCGACUCCAUGAAGUCGGAAUCGCUAGUAAUCGUGGAUCAGAAUGCCACGGUGAAUACGUUCCCGGGCCCUGUACACACCGCCCGUCACACCAUGGGAGUGGGUUGCAAAAGAAGUAGGUAGCUUAACCUUCGGGAGGGCGCUUACCACUUUGUGAUUCAUGACUGGGGUGAAGUCGUAACAAGGUAAGCGUAGUGCU